AUUGAACGCUGGCGGCAUGCCUAACACAUGCAAGUCGAGCGCCCAGCAAUGGGAGCGGCAGACGGGUGAGUAACGCGUGGGGAUGUGCCCAAUGGUGCGGAAUAACCCAGGGAAACUUGGAUUAAUACCGCAGGUGCCCUUCGGGGGAAAGAUUUAUCGCCAUUGGAUCAACCCGCGUCUGAUUAGCUAGUUGGUGAGGUAAAGGCUCACCAAGGCGACGAUCAGUAGCUGGUCUGAGAGGAUGAUCAGCCACACUGGGACUGAGACACGGCCCAGACUCCUACGGGAGGCAGCAGUGGGGAAUAUUGGACAAUGGGCGCAAGCCUGAUCCAGCCAUGCCGCGUGAGUGAUGAAGGCCUUAGGGUUGUAAAGCUCUUUCGCCGGUGAAGAUAAUGACGGUAACCGGAGAAGAAGCCCCGGCUAACUUCGUGCCAGCCGCCGCCGUAA
This 447-nucleotide ribosomal RNA is filed under the name uncultured bacterium. Its description in RNAcentral is "partial 16S ribosomal RNA". It matches the Rfam family "Bacterial small subunit ribosomal RNA", at positions 30 to 523 of the family's 1533-position model. The record is from RNAcentral.